Long non-coding RNA from Bombus pyrosoma, 5044 nucleotides. RefSeq lists it as uncharacterized. NCBI's taxonomy places the organism in Eukaryota, Metazoa, Arthropoda, Insecta, Hymenoptera, Apidae. The record is from RefSeq and is a predicted model, not a curated record. The transcript has 3 exons.
UAAAAAAGAGGAAAGAAACGCAAGUAUUCUUGCGGUACAUGUCGUCCAUUUGCCGUUGUAAAUUUGUGGUACAAGCCGAAAAAGCAAUAUCGAAUUCGACCUUCGAGGUCCUGCCACUCCAGGGCAAAGCGAUACGCAUGCAAAAUUUCAUUCACGUAAGCGUCACGUACGGCUUAACGUUGCAAUAACAUUCCAAGAAUAAGUUGGGGUCCGAAAGUUCGCCGGUUCUUUGUUUCCUGCUGUUUCAACCGAAUAAAGAACGAAUUUAUUUUCGAGAAAAGAAAAUCGUUAGCUUGCGUCUGUCGAAUCGAAGAAUCGAGAAGCAAAUUAAGUGCCACGCUCGCGGCUACGAAGCGUGAAUAACGAAGCGCUUCGCUGUUAUUCGCUACGACCAAAUUAUUUUCGAGAAUCGCGAACCAUCGAUCCUUCAUCCUGUGACCUUUGGCAACGUUGAAAUUGCAAUUGUACAUCAAACCGCUCGUGCACAUGCCUUCCGUCACGGCGCUGCCUUUCCCACAAACUGAAAAUGGAUGACACGUGUAGUAGUCGCGGAACUUCCCAGGACGUACUUUCAGACAGCGGAACCGAUUCUACAUCGUUCAAGCAGGCGUAUCUUUGGGGUGCAUAAAUGCGUUUGAACGUAAAAGGCGUCUGAACGAAAGAAAAAGACGGAAAAGAAAUCUUCCCUGCGAAACUAAUUAUUUUUAGGGUUACUCUUAGCGGGCCCUUAUUCUCCAACCAACUAAACAGUCGUGUAAAAAAAAAGAAAAGCGAUUGCCUUGGAACAACGAGCGUCGAGCCGUGGCCGAAAUAGCCGUCGUUUUCGUGGCACGCCACGCUUAAUGUGUGAUUUAAACUCGAGACUGAAAAUAUAUUUUACAUUCGACGUCACGUACCGCCAAUUAGUAAGUAAGACACGCGGAUGGCGACGAGCAGACGAUGGACGUUGCGAGUGGCAAUUUUUCUGCGGCAAGAGCAACGCAUCCGGGUUAAAGUAUCGGACGGCCAAGUAGCUAUCGCACCUCGAAACGAGUUAUUAGAUCCCGCGUUCGAGAAAGAAUUCGUCGCUCGAGAAUACCGGAGGUAAUAAGCAACCGUGUCCGAGAUAAAAGCGCAACGAUUUAUUCUGUUAUGAAAUUUUGCCGAGAAAUCGAGAAAAAACGCGUAUCGCCGAGGCACGCGGAGAUUCCCACGCCAGGUGCGCUGCUGGAUCGUCCCCACGAAUUCUCGUGUUCCAUUGCUAAUAGAUUCGACAGAAGCCGACGAAAAGUUUCCUCGUGAGCAAACGGAACGAAGAAAACGCCGACGAAUUCUUCUCGACGAGGUCGUGUAAUUGCAGGUAGGUAGGGUCGGGCUUGGGAUAGAUGGUCGACGCGAAGGCACCGAACGUUGCAUCGAUCGGAUUGGCAAAGGAAGCGCAAUGCCGAGGAGCUCGUUGAGGAUAUUCGAGAAGGGCCAAGUAACAGAGGUGGUUCGGGCGUUCGAGAAAUAUUCGACUCGUCGGCGAUCAUUGUGGUGACGUCGUGAAUUUUCUUCGAAAAACGAGAGGACAGACCGGCUACGUAGAGAGGUACGUACGAGGCCGAGCCUUCACCUCGAUCGCGGUGUACGCGGCGCACACGUACAGGUAAACGUACGUAGACAGGUACGCGAGCGAAACGACCGGUGAGCGAGGACAGAAGAGAAGAGAGAAGAGAAGGGAAAAGAAGACAGAGGAAAGAAAAAGAGGGACAAGACGAGACGAGACACGUGGAAACGUGCAAAACGCAGAAGAGAGAACAGGAGGAAGAGGAGAAACGGAGAAGGAGAGGAUGUGAAAGGAAAGAGAAAAAGGAGGGUGGGAAGGAGGGAAAAGGAGGAGGCGCGAGAGAUCGGUAGAGGGGUCAUUGGUUGUUCGUUGCGCACUCUCAACGUAUAGGAAUCGUUAUGGACCGACUAUAGCCGUUGGAAUGCGUCCUUUUUUCCCUUUUUCUGUCUCCCUAUAUACCUGGCGGGCUACUCUCGCUCCGUUGUGGCGACGACGUUGGCGGUGGCGGUGGCGAUGGCGGUGGCGGUGGCGGUGGCGGUGGCGGUGGCGGUGACGGUGGCGGCAACCACGGCGGCGAACCUCUUGCGGACAAUCUCGUCGGCCGGCGACCGGUAUAGCCGCGACCGGCCCGCAGGAAAGAAACUACGAUUCGACUCGAUGGAUCCGCGCUCCUUCGAACGUUCGGGUUCGAGUCGCCGACACGCACCGGCCAACGACACGACGACAGCCAUAGACAGCGAAGAAGAGGGCUUCGAGCAUCGAACGUCGCGUCGUACAUCGUGCCGAACAGAGGAAUUGGAAAUUGGAGCGUCCAAACUGACAGUGAAGAAAGUGAGAAAAACGAGACGAUGGGGCGACCCACUGGCGAACGAAACGCAACCUCCUCUCGAAGAAUCGACGAGGAUCUUGGAGGAGAAAAAGUGGGAAAAAGGCACGCGGGUCAACGGAUACCUAUAAAACGAUAGAGACAAGAGGGGAAUAUACGAGACGCCGCGCCGCGUGGAAGGAUCGUGAACUCGCGGCAAACCAGAAGAGUAUUCGGGAACGAGGAGAACGAGAAGAACGAGAUGCCGGCGUGAGGAAAGGCAAACGAGGCAACACGAUAAAGAACGAAUCAACCAGGUAGAAAGACAGGGAUGCCGCGGUAAAGUUGCGAGAGAGCCGGCCAAACGAGAAGACCGACCAAAGAAGGAGAGGGAGAAGAAGAGAACGAUAGAAGACGGAUGUAUAUAGGUAGGAGGACAGGUAGUCGGCUCGAGGAAAGAAGAGACCGAGUGAAGAGCACACGGGGGAAAGAAGAGACGAAAGAAAAGGGAAGGUCCGUGAGGGGGAGUGGAGCGGUAAGCAGCGAAAUGGAGCGGGGUAGAAAGCAGAGGGGUAAGGUGAGGAAAGGAAAGAGAAGAGAGAGACUCGUUCGAGAGAGAAUCUCGUACGUAUACCGGCAGUUCGGUUUGAUGACGUCACGACGUCGAUUUGAACGGACCAAUGAGCGUUCGAAGCGAAGCUGAAGAGGUAAAGAGGAUGUAGAGGGGACUGAACAGGCCGAAAGGACCCCGAGGGGGGCAACGAGCUCUAGGUUCCGGAGUUCGAGGGGGCAGGGGUAACGCGAAAGGUGCGUGCGGCCCCGGACGUGGGGCGCGGGGCCAGUUGAUCAGUGAGUGCGGUAGUGAUCUCAUCUCGUACCGCGCCAGGUGUGACUCCUCUCUUUCCUCUUCUUUUGAUCCGAGUCUAUGUGCCCUUGGUAAGACGGAGCAAGCAGUAGCGGACUUAAAAUUCACGUAUCGACUCGGCCGUGUCCUCGACUCCGAGCAACAGGAGAGACAGUAAACAGAGGAAACUAGCUUUCGUAGAGGUGCGUCGAUCACGAGUAAUCACGAGACGCGAAAGAUAUUUUGGGAAAUAACGAGGAAAAUCCCGCGAAUCUUCUCGUCGAGAGGCUUCUUUUUUUCGCGCCUUUGGAUCCGUUGCAGCGCGGCAGGGAAGUUAAAUCAAGCUCGAUAACUACAUUCGAAGUGAUAAUGACUAUAAGUGAAGCGACAUUAGCCCCGAUUAUCUCAAGUACUCGUACAGCUGUGUUUGCGUAAACGAUUGGAAGUCGCAUCGGAAGCCGACCUCGUUAGGAAACCAAUUUACCACACGGGUACACGGGUUCGAAACGUUAGCUCGUGAAAUUUCUGUCCACCGGCCUGUUAACGUCCUGUCGUCAUGAUUUUUCACUGCGGGGGUAAGUUAGCGAUUUAGGAAACACGCGUGUCGACGCGUAACAGCCACGAACAGGAUCUCUGAUCGUUGCGCAACGAAUUCAGGAACGAAACGGAACGGAAAAGUUCUCGAUAAAACGUACGGUCAAUAAGACGUAUCGUGCAAAGACCCUGCAAUGCCACGGUUGGACACCAGAUUGUUAAUUAAAUCGUAAACUGUUAAUCAGACCGUUAAACCGACCAGCGUUGAGAUUCAACACCGAAAAUAUUUUUCAGCCUCGAGCAACGGUCACCGAUUCCUGCAAGAAAUCUUCCUCGUUACUGCACAAUUCUUAGCCACGUCUCAACGAGCAAUUUUGGUAACGAGCUACGAUCGCUCCUACGGAUUUUGGUUUUCGGCACUGCCGUUUUUCCUACGAGAAAGUACGACAAUUACAUAGGUUAGCUGCUAACAACAAGCCGUGACGAACAAAUGGAACGAAUCGAAGGUCGGCUUAUCAUGAAAGAUAGGUACUCACUCAUAUUUGCUGUAGGUACGUGACGAUGGACUUGUACAACUUGGAUAAGCCAUUUCAGCGGCAAAGUAGGCUAGAAAUCUCAGUUUCCUUUGUUGCUGUAGCAGCUUUCAACAGGGAGAAAAAAUAAAGAAAAUUGAGUUUUAGAAAGUCGGGGAUUAUCGUUGAAUCGAGUCUAAAUCUUUCUGAUCAGUCUUCCUGUUACGCUCGAUACGAGAGCGAACCAGAAAUAGACCGGCAGUUUUUCAGAGUGGGGACACCAUCGACACGUGCAUGCCAUUAUCUGCACCGGGAAAUAGCGGAUUUUCGAUCGAGAGGGAGACGCUCGCUCGUAUAAACAGCCAUUAACGAUCGAUCCGUAUGUUUACCGAUUUUUACGAUCUCGAGAAUAGAAGGCCCGACAUUAUCGGAUGAAUAGGCCGGCAGCAAAGAAGAUUUUCGAUUCUCGACGGUUUGAUUGCCUGGCAAGACUAAACUUGCAAGUAUUUCAACGCUCCAGGCAACAAGAAGAUCUUGGCGCGGACAUUUUCUUUGGUUAUCUAGCUGUAUGAGUAUUAUUCGACAUCAUAAAGCUAGGUUACCGGAGUUAAGCUCCUCGCCAUAUCAACUCCACCGAUUCUUCGUCGCCGUUUCGAUUUGCUACUCAAGUAACCGGAAACCGAUGAACGUAAAAAUGACUGAAAUCUUUAAAUACAUAUAACCAUAAGUAUUAAAAAAGAUCAUAUAUAUAUAUAUAUAUAUUGUAAAUAAAUAUAAAUCUUCAGAAAGAAAGAAUAAAAAUAUUUUCUAAAACCCCAGAA